RNAcentral lists this ribosomal RNA (253 nucleotides) under uncultured bacterium. Its description in RNAcentral is "partial 16S ribosomal RNA". It matches the Rfam family "Bacterial small subunit ribosomal RNA", at positions 524 to 776 of the family's 1533-position model. The record is from RNAcentral.
UACGGAGGGUGCGAGCGUUGUCCGGAAUCGCUGGGCGUAAAGGGCGCGUAGGUGGCGUCGCAAGUCAACGGUGAAAGCUCGGCGCUCAACGCCGAGUCGGCCGUCGAUACUGCGAGGCUGGAGCACUGUAGAGGCAGAUGGAAUUCCGGGUGUAGCGGUGGAAUGCGUAGAGAUCCGGAGGAACACCGGUGGCGAAGGCGGGUCUCUGGGCCGAAAUUGACGCUGAGGAGCGAAAGCGUGGGGAGCAAACAGG